UUCUCUUGUUCUGAUGGACGAAUCUUUUCACAUUUACAGGCACAAAGACGGAUGGGAAAGGAGAACUUCUCAGGGCCGGCACCUGCCUUGCUGGGUGCUGAGCACCCCAUCUUGGGAGGUGACCCAGCAGAGGGCAAGAAACAUUCCUGAAUACACUUAUUGGCAUUUGAUAUCGUCUCCCCAGCUCUGGGCCUUCAAACCAAGGGGCAGUUCAGUGCGGUGGUGCAGGCUGUGGACUCAGAAGCCCGACUGCCUGCAUUUGAGUCCCAUCUCCUCCCCCUGCUACCUGUGUGUCCUUGGGCAAGCUGCUCGGUGUUCCCGAGCCUCACCGUCGUUCUCUAUAAAACUAUGAUUGAUUGAUUCAA
Lynx canadensis (Canada lynx) is the source of this 365-nucleotide long non-coding RNA. RefSeq lists it as uncharacterized. Lineage: Eukaryota; Metazoa; Chordata; Mammalia; Carnivora; Felidae. The record is from RefSeq and is a predicted model, not a curated record. The transcript has 2 exons.